Molecule: long non-coding RNA, 204 nt
Filed under: Elaeis guineensis (African oil palm)
Lineage: Eukaryota; Viridiplantae; Streptophyta; Magnoliopsida; Arecales; Arecaceae
Description: long non-coding RNA (EGUI_LNC014830)
Source: RNAcentral
CCCUUUUUGUUCGAUUUUGAUGUCUUAGGAUUUUUUUAUAUUUAAAUAAUUUUUGAAUUAUUUUAGAUAUUUAUCUUUUUCUAUCAUUUUGUCAUUCAAAAGCAGCUCGUGGGUCUGUUAACUAAUAGUAAAUUAUUUCCAUAGCUUCAAAAUAGUUUUAAAAUAUUAACAAUCAAACAAAAAACUAUUUUGUUCUAAAGCGGC